UCCAACUUAUCGCUGGCGGUCUCCUGAGAGUUCCCAACUUAAUGAUGGCAACACAGGACAAGGGUUGCGCUCGUUGCGGGACUUAACCCAACAUCUCACGACACGAGCUGACGACAGCCAUGCAGCACCUCGACUGGACCCCCUUGCGGAGUAGCGAUGUUUCCACCGCCGUUGACCAGCCGUUCGAGCCCAGGUAAGGUGGGGAUGACGUUCGUCUGAC
This 220-nucleotide unclassified non-coding RNA is filed under the name uncultured Bryobacterales bacterium. RNAcentral describes it as "contains 16S-23S intergenic spacer region". Lineage: Bacteria; Pseudomonadati; Acidobacteriota; Terriglobia; Bryobacterales. The record is from RNAcentral.